GCCCAGUGACACACGUUUAACGGCCGCGGUACCCUGACCGUGCAAAGGUAGCAUAAUCACUUGUUCUUUAAAUAGGGACUCGUAUGAAUGGCACCACGAGGGUUUAACUGUCUCUUACUUUCAACCAGUGAAAUUGACCUGUCCGUGAAGAGACGGACAUGAAGCAAUAAGACGAGAAGACCCUGUGGAGCUUNAAUUUAUUAGUACAACUAAAAACCGCAUAAACCAACAGGYCCUAAACCCCUACACCUGUACUAAAAAUUUUGGUUGGGGCGACCUCGGAGCACAACCAAACCUCCGAAUAAUCCACGCUAAGACUAUACAAGUCAAAGCAAACUGACACCUACAAUUGACCCAAUAACUUGAUCAACGGAACAAGUUACCCCAGGGAUAACAGCGCAAUUCUAUUCUAGAGUCCAUAUCAACAAUAGAGUUUACGACCUCGAUGUUGGAUCAGGACAUCCUAAUGGUGCAGCAGCUAUCAAGGGUUCGUUUGUUCAACG
This 503-nucleotide ribosomal RNA is filed under the name Cercopithecus cephus cephodes. RNAcentral's name for it is "partial 16S ribosomal RNA". It matches the Rfam family "Bacterial large subunit ribosomal RNA", at positions 1861 to 2586 of the family's 2925-position model. The record is from RNAcentral. Lineage: Eukaryota; Metazoa; Chordata; Mammalia; Primates; Cercopithecidae.